UAGGACGAACGCUGGCGGCGUGCCUAAUACAUGCAAGUCGAACGGUCUUUCUAUGGAAGCUUGCUUCCACUGAGAAGAUAGUGGCGAACGGGUGAGUAACACGUGGGUAACCUGCCCAUAAGAGGGGGAUAACAUCCGGAAACGGGUGCUAAUACCGCAUAGUUUUCUUGAUCGCAUGAUUGAGAAAGGAAAGACGGCCUUUGUGCUGUCGCUUAUGGAUGGACCCGCGGCGUAUUAGUUAGUUGGUGAGGUAACGGCUCACCAAGACGAUGAUACGUAGCCGACCUGAGAGGGUGAUCGGCCACAUUGGGACUGAGACACGGCCCAAACUCCUACGGGAGGCAGCAGUAGGGAAUCUUCCGCAAUGGACGAAAGUCUGACGGAGCAACGCCGCGUGAGUGAAGAAAGGUUUUCGGAUCGUAAAACUCUGUUGUCAGAGAAGAACAAGUUGGAGAGUAACUGCUCCAGCCUUGACGGUAUCUGACCAGAAAGCCACGGCUAACUACGUGCCAGCAGCCGC
This 520-nucleotide ribosomal RNA is filed under the name uncultured bacterium. RNAcentral's name for it is "bacterial SSU rRNA". It matches the Rfam family "Bacterial small subunit ribosomal RNA", at positions 26 to 518 of the family's 1533-position model. The record is from RNAcentral.